CCUACGGGAGACAGCAGUGGGGGAUAUUGCACAAUGGGGGGAACCCUGCUGCAGCGACGCCGCGUGGGUGCAGAAGCGCCUCGGCGCGUAAAGCCCUGUCAGCAGGGAAGAAAAUGACGGUACCUGAAGAAGAAGCCCCGGCUAACUACGUUCCAGCAGCCGCGGUAAUACGUAGGUGGCAAGCGUUAUCCGGAUUUACUGGGUGUAAAGGGAGUGUAGGCGGGACUGCAAGUCAGAUGUGAAAACGACGGGCUCAACCUGUGGCCUGCAUUUGAAACUGUAGUUCUUGAGUACUGGAGAGGCAGACGGAAUUCCUAGUGUAGCGGUGAAAUGCGUAGAUAUUAGGAGGAACACCAGUGGCGAAGGCGGUCUGCUGGACAGCAACUGACGCUGAGGCGCGAAAGCGUGGGGAGCAAACAGGAUUAGAUACCCGUGUAGUC
This 440-nucleotide ribosomal RNA is filed under the name uncultured bacterium. RNAcentral describes it as "partial 16S ribosomal RNA". It matches the Rfam family "Bacterial small subunit ribosomal RNA", at positions 338 to 795 of the family's 1533-position model. The record is from RNAcentral.